Long non-coding RNA from Syngnathus typhle (broad-nosed pipefish), 1734 nucleotides. RefSeq lists it as uncharacterized. The transcript is spliced from 4 exons. The record is from RefSeq and is a predicted model, not a curated record. NCBI's taxonomy places the organism in Eukaryota, Metazoa, Chordata, Actinopteri, Syngnathiformes, Syngnathidae.
CCAUCUUGAUUGCGUAAAUCCGCAUACCACAGAGAAAUCUCUUAUUUCUGCUUCCUGUUUCACCUGUUCUUCCCUGCAGUUAUCCUUGGCAAGAAACGCGUUCUUGAUACAGAAACCAUGCUGACAGCUGACCUCACCCUCGCUCCUUUCUCUUGGGCAGCUGUCCGUUGUCCAACUCUUUUUAUGCACCACGGACCGAUUUCACAUCAGAAUAUAAUUUGACGGACCAUUGAAGCCGUGGCGGAGCGACAGAGAUGACCGUCUCGCCAGCGAUUCUCCUGUGAAGAGUUCAGCUACUGUCUCACGGCGAAUUGAUUCUCGUGACUUGACAAAGUUAACAAGGAAAACUCCAGAAUAGAACGGUCGUGAACUGAGCGCCCCUGUACCCUACCCUACUGAGAACCACAGGCCUUCAGUACAUUAGAAAUUUAACAACUGGGACAAAGUGCCGUACAAUUUCAGCGGCUGAAUCAAUCUGUAAUGAUCACACUUUUACCUUGAGGCAAAUCUUUCUCCCAGCUGGCCACAGUAGCAUAAAGCCCAUCGCUAGAUUGACAGGCCCUUAAUGGCGGCUCUCCGAGGCUCAGGCCACGAAGGUGUCUCUACCCAGUGUUAAUCCAUGUUGUCUCGGGAAGCCCGUGACAUUGUAACCGGACCUUUUCGCUGCCUCGGCGACGAGGGAGAAGACAGAUGUCCAAACAGCCCAAAGGUUCAUCACUCACAAGGAUUUGUUUGUUGCGCAAGGGUCGAGGAGGGGCGAAGCGCGGAUGAGUAAAGAUGGCACCCUUCUAGCAUCUUUGCUCCUCUAAUGAAAAACAAACUCAUUCGAAGGGGGCCCAGUGAGUAAUGACGGCCAACAGCCAGAUCUUGAACUUUUUUUGAAGUAUUGCCUUACUUCUGAGGUUGACCCAUUGUUUUGUCAAUGUCAAGAGUCUUCUCGCAUUAAACCUACAAACGGGAAUGUUUGCGAAAUCUCAUCACUGUCUAUUGGAAACCCUGCAUGUCCAAACGUGGCCAAUUUCAUAUUCACCAAAAUUCUAAUGAGGAAGAAGCUCUUUUGUAAAGGGAUCGAUGGACUGAGAGAGACAUCUAUUUUUCCCCUCCACUGCCUGUCAACCAAUCAAGGUACUCUGGUGUGUCUUCCGACCUUUAGGUACCUCACGCCUAUCGUGAUUACCACAGUAGCAGUGUGCCAAAACAAAGACAAAAAAUUAUUUAAUAAACUGAAUGAGCAUUUACAUAGUGGAUGUAAAACAGAAUGUGUUUUGCAUAGUAACAAUCAUAUUUUAAUGAGAAAAAUGCUAUUUCUCCUACUGUGUGCGGUUCAGUAAUCCCAUUUGAACAUACAGAUGCAAUUUGCAUAGCAAUGUGCCAAACACAUCAAUUAAAAGAGUCAGUUUUAUCUUGCGGCCACUUUUAAAUUUCCAUUGUUAUUGUUGUUCUAUAACAUCUCCCAUUCACAAAUCUUUUAAUUACAUCACUUCACAAUUUCAGUGCUUAUCUAAAAAGGGUUUUUUUAUGCAGCGCAGCUCGCACAAAAAAAAUAUGGGGAAACAAAAAUAAACUCCCUAUUCUUCAUUUCAUGUUUGCUCUCACCCUGCAUACAAUAUUUUCCACCUAAUUGUCCAAUGGCCAGAUGCACGCUUCAAGCUAAUUUGUAAACGUUUGUCAUGAGGGGCAAUCACUCAUGGUGCUGGUGUUUACCAAAAUGACAUAACUCAUGCUAAAUGUAUC